Molecule: ribosomal RNA, 426 nt
Filed under: uncultured bacterium
Lineage: Bacteria
Description: bacterial SSU rRNA
Rfam family: Bacterial small subunit ribosomal RNA
Source: RNAcentral
UGGGGAAUUUUGGACAAUGGGCGCAAGCCUGAUCCAGCAAUGCCGCGUGAGUGAAGAAGGCCUUCGGGUUGUAAAGCUCUUUUGUCAGGGAAGAAACGGUGAAGGCUAAUAUCCUUUGCUAAUGACGGUACCUGAAGAAUAAGCACCGGCUAACUACGUGCCAGCAGCCGCGGUAAUACGUAGGGUGCAAGCGUUAAUCGGAAUUACUGGGCGUAAAGCGUGCGCAGGCGGUUUUGUAAGUUUGUCGUGAAAGCCCCGGGCUCAACCUGGGAAUUGCGAUGAAGACUGCAAGGCUUGAAUCUGGCAGAGGGGGGUAGAAUUCCACGUGUAGCAGUGAAAUGCGUAGAGAUGUGGAGGAACACCGAUGGCGAAGGCAGCCCCCUGGGUCAAGAUUGACGCUCAUGCACGAAAGCGUGGGGAGCAAAC